Molecule: ribosomal RNA, 554 nt
Filed under: Salmonella enterica subsp. enterica serovar Dublin str. SL1438
Lineage: Bacteria; Pseudomonadati; Pseudomonadota; Gammaproteobacteria; Enterobacterales; Enterobacteriaceae
Description: bacterial LSU rRNA
Rfam family: Bacterial large subunit ribosomal RNA
Source: RNAcentral
GGUUAAGCGACUAAGCGUACACGGUGGAUGCCCUGGCAGUCAGAGGCGAUGAAGGGCGUGCUAAUCUGCGAUAAGCGCCGGUAAGGUGAUAUGAACCGUUAUAACCGGCGAUACCCGAAUGGGGAAACCCAGUGUGAUUCGUCACACUAUCAUUAACUGAAUCCAUAGGUUAAUGAGGCGAACCGGGGGAACUGAAACAUCUAAGUACCCCGAGGAAAAGAAAUCAACCGAGAUUCCCCCAGUAGCGGCGAGCGAACGGGGAGGAGCCCAGAGCCUGAAUCAGCAUGUGUGUUAGUGGAAGCGUCUGGAAAGGCGCGCGAUACAGGGUGACAGCCCCGUACACAAAAGCGCAUGUGCUGUGAGCUCGAUGAGUAGGGCGGGACACGUGGUAUCCUGUCUGAAUAUGGGGGGACCAUCCUCCAAGGCUAAAUACUCCUGACUGACCGAUAGUGAACCAGUACCGUGAGGGAAAGGCGAAAAGAACCCCGGCGAGGGGAGUGAAAAAGAACCUGAAACCGUGUACGUACAAGCAGUGGGAGCACAGGUUUACCUGU